This is a long non-coding RNA of Symphalangus syndactylus (siamang), 193 nucleotides long. RefSeq lists it as uncharacterized. The record is from RefSeq and is a predicted model, not a curated record. NCBI's taxonomy places the organism in Eukaryota, Metazoa, Chordata, Mammalia, Primates, Hylobatidae.
AAGAAAUGAAACCUCUGCUGUCAAGAAAUUUUCACUCAAAUUAAUUAGUAUGGGACUGGAAUUAACAUUUCAUUUUAUUGCCUGUAAAUUUGAAUGUGAGAAAUACUGGAAGAUAAUCUUUCCCAAUGACUGAAAGAGAAGAAAACAGAUGAAGAUGAGUCAAGAAACUGGAUCUGUCCACUGAAGGACGAGG